This 253-nucleotide ribosomal RNA is filed under the name uncultured bacterium. Its description in RNAcentral is "partial 16S ribosomal RNA". It matches the Rfam family "Bacterial small subunit ribosomal RNA", at positions 524 to 776 of the family's 1533-position model. The record is from RNAcentral.
UACGUAGGUGGCAAGCGUUGUCCGGAAUUAUUGGGCGUAAAGCGCGCGCAGGCGGUUCCUUAAGUCUGAUGUGAAAGCCCACGGCUCAACCGUGGAGGGUCAUUGGAAACUGGGGAACUUGAGUGCAGGAGAGAAGAGUGGAAUUCCACGUGUAGCGGUGAAAUGCGUAGAGAUGUGGAGGAACACCAGUGGCGAAGGCGGUUCUCUGGGCCUUACCUGACGCUGAGGAGCGAAAGCGUGGGGAGCGAACAGG